GAGUUUGAUCAUGGCUCAGGAUGAACGCUAGCGGCAGGCCUAAUACAUGCAAGUCGAGGGGCAGCAGGGAUAGCAAUAUUCGCUGGCGACCGGCGCACGGGUGCGUAACACGUAUACAAUCUGCCUUCGAACAGGGGGACUAGCCCGGAGAAAUCCGGAUUAAUACCCCAUAAUAAAUUAAGUGGCAUCACUUGGUUUUGAAAGUUCCGACGGUUGAAGAUGAGUAUGCGUCUGAUUAGCUAGUUGGUGAGGUAACGGCUCACCAAGGCGACGAUCAGUAGGGGAUCUGAGAGGAUUAACCCCCCACACGGAUACUGAGACACGGAUCCGACUCCUACGGGAGGCAGCAGUAAGGAAUAUUGGACAAUGCCCGCAA
This 376-nucleotide ribosomal RNA is filed under the name uncultured Flavobacterium sp. Its description in RNAcentral is "bacterial SSU rRNA". It matches the Rfam family "Bacterial small subunit ribosomal RNA", at positions 9 to 380 of the family's 1533-position model. The record is from RNAcentral. Lineage: Bacteria; Pseudomonadati; Bacteroidota; Flavobacteriia; Flavobacteriales; Flavobacteriaceae.